UGGGUUGUGGCUCAGUGGUGGAGCACUUGCCUAGCACACGUGAGGCACUGGGUUCGAUCCUCAGCACCACAU
Non-coding RNA from Ictidomys tridecemlineatus (thirteen-lined ground squirrel), 72 nucleotides. The record is from Rfam. NCBI's taxonomy places the organism in Eukaryota, Metazoa, Chordata, Mammalia, Rodentia, Sciuridae.